Molecule: ribosomal RNA, 893 nt
Filed under: uncultured crenarchaeote
Lineage: Archaea; Thermoproteati; Thermoproteota
Description: bacterial SSU rRNA
Rfam family: Archaeal small subunit ribosomal RNA
Source: RNAcentral
UUCCGGUUGAUCCUGCCGGAACAGACUGCUAUCGGAUUGAGAUUUAGCCAUGCGAGUCGAACGCCUUCCUGUUGCGGGAGGCGUGGCGUACGGCUCAGUAACACGUAGUCAACCUGCCCUAGAGACAUGAAUAACCCUGGGAAACUGGGAUUAAUACAUGAUAGAUCAUCUCAUCUGGAAGGAGAGAUGGUUUAAAGGGGUGCGCGAGCUUCUUUUGUGCAUCCGCUCUAGGAUGGGACUGCGGCCGAUCAGGCUGUUGGUGGGGUAAUGGCCCACCAAACCUGUAACCGGUACGGGCCUUGAGAGAGGGGGCCCGGAGAUGGACACUGAGAGAAGGGUCCAGGUCCUACGGGGCGCAGCAGGCGCGAAACCUUCGCAAUGCGCGAAAGCGUGACGAGGUUAAUCCGAGUGGUUCCCGCUGAGGGAAUCUUUUGUUGGCUCUAAAAUGGCCAGUGAAUAAAGGGAGGGCAAGUCUGGUGUCAGCCGCCGCGGUAAUACCAGCUCCUCGAGUGGUCGGGGCGAUUAUUGGGCCUAAAGCAUCCGUAGCCUGUUCUGUAGGUCUUCUGUUAAAUCCAACGGCUUAACCGUUGGCCUGCAGAAGAUACCGCAGGACUAGGAGGCGGGAGAGGUGGACGGUACUCCACGUGUAGGGGUAAAAUCCUUUGAUCCGUGGAAGACCACCAGUGGCGAAGGCGGUCCACCAGAACGCGCUCGACGGUGAGGGAUGAAAGCUGGGGGAGCGAACCGGAUUAGAUACCCGGGUAGUCCCAGCCGUAAACGAUGCGAGCUAGAUGAUCCAAUCGCAAAUCGCGAUUGGAGUGUCGCGGGGAAGCCGUUAAGCUCGCCGCCUGGGGAGUACGGUCGCAAGACUGAAACUUAAAGGAAUUGGCGGG